UGUGGCCAUUAAACUGAUCCUGCAAGACCUGACAUGAGCCGUCCAAGGAAAAGGUAGCAGCCCUUGGGUCUAACCAGGCAAAGGUCAAACAAAAGGCCGAAGUCACCACCCGAAAGGAACAAACAAAACCUGCACCACCAGCAUCACCACACGGACUGGAGAUCACAAUUUUCUGCCAAAUUCCAACCUCGUGUUGGCAGUGGCAGGAAAGAGCCAGCAGAGAACACUUGGCAAGCUCAUGGACGCUGCUCCUGGCGGCGUUCCUAGGGCCCGUGAUGUAUGUACACGCGAGGCAGGAUGGGCGGUGUCAUGUCAGAGGGCGGUGCUCUCAGACU
Molecule: long non-coding RNA, 335 nt
Organism: Homo sapiens (human)
Lineage: Eukaryota; Metazoa; Chordata; Mammalia; Primates; Hominidae
Source: Ensembl